AUUUCUCUAGUAUAACUAAUACUAAUGACUUCCAAUCAUUUUAUCUUGGUUUAAGCCCAGGGAGAAAUA
RNAcentral lists this transfer RNA (69 nucleotides) under Anomaloglossus rufulus. RNAcentral describes it as "tRNA-Gly". It matches the Rfam family "tRNA". Rfam says of the family: Transfer RNA (tRNA) molecules are approximately 80 nucleotides in length. Their secondary structure includes four short double-helical elements and three loops (D, anti-codon, and T loops). The record is from RNAcentral. Lineage: Eukaryota; Metazoa; Chordata; Amphibia; Anura; Aromobatidae.